AAAAAUCUGCAUCAAUGGUUAUGUUUUAUUGCUCGAAGAUAAGUUUAGGGAGAAAGAAUAUAUCAGUGAAAAACCUUUAGAAGACAGUACUUCAAGAAAAGAAAAGAAAAAAAGGCAAAAUCUCAGCAGCAUCUGGUCAUUUUGCAUGGCCUAAUCAUCAAUAGCAUAUGUUUUUGGCUCGUGUUUGUGAUUUGGGUAAAGGGGGACGGUUUCUGAUGUUCUUACUACCAUUAGAAUAAACAUUGGUGUUUGGAGAUGUCUUUUGGCCAGAAGCAGCAAAUGGAGAGAGCAAUAGGGAAGGACUCUCCACCUGGGUCUGCUUUGAACCUGAUGAGGUGCUGGUGGUACUAUUCCCACCCUCUUGAACUUGCACAUUUGGCUCAGGAGUCUUACUGUCCUGAAACAAUCAAAAGUUGAUGUACUAUUAUUAUGGGACAAGAACUACUACAAACAUUAAAAGCAGGAACUUAACUCUGUUUAAUUUGUUCAUCUACUUGCUUAAACAUAAUAGAAAACUAGAAUAGAUUUGACAGAUGUCUGAUUACAACAUCA
Gossypium arboreum is the source of this 552-nucleotide long non-coding RNA. RefSeq lists it as uncharacterized. The record is from RefSeq and is a predicted model, not a curated record. NCBI's taxonomy places the organism in Eukaryota, Viridiplantae, Streptophyta, Magnoliopsida, Malvales, Malvaceae. The transcript has 2 exons.